RNAcentral lists this ribosomal RNA (419 nucleotides) under uncultured ammonia-oxidizing beta proteobacterium. Its description in RNAcentral is "bacterial SSU rRNA". It matches the Rfam family "Bacterial small subunit ribosomal RNA", at positions 197 to 597 of the family's 1533-position model. Lineage: Bacteria; Pseudomonadati; Pseudomonadota; Betaproteobacteria. The record is from RNAcentral.
UGGAGGAAAGCAGGGGAUCGUAAGACCUUGCGCUUUUGGAGUGGCCGAUGCCUGAUUAGCUAGUUGGUGGGGUAAGAGCCUACCAAGGCGACGAUCAGUAGUUGGUCUGAGAGGACGACCAGCCACACUGGGACUGAGACACGGCCCAGACUCCUACGGGAGGCAGCAGUGGGGAAUUUUGGACAAUGGGCGAAAGCCUGAUCCAGCAAUGCCGCGUGAGUGAAGAAGGCCUUCGGGUUGUAAAGCUCUUUCAGUCGAGAAGAAAAGGUUGCGACUAAUAAUCGCAACUUAUGACGGUAUCGACAGAAGAAGCACCGGCUAACUACGUGCCAGCAGCCGCGGUAAUACGUAGGGUGCGAGCGUUAAUCGGAAUUACUGGGCGUAAAGGGUGCGCAGGCGGCUCUGUAAGUCAGAUGUGA